GAUGAACGCUGGCGGCGUGCCUAAUACAUGCAAGUCGAGCGAACCACUUCGGUGGUGAGCGGCGAACGGGUGAGUAACACGUAGGUGAUCUGCCCAUCAGACGGGGACAACGAUUGGAAACGAUCGCUAAUACCGGAUAGGACGAAAGUUUAAAGGUGCUUCUGGCACCGCUGAUGGAUGAGCCUGCGGCGCAUUAGCUAGUUGGUAGGGUAAAGGCCUACCAAGGCGACGAUGCGUAGCCGACCUGAGAGGGUGAACGGCCACACUGGGACUGAGACACGGCCCAGACUCCUACGGGAGGCAGCAGUAGGGAAUCUUCGGCAAUGGGCGAAAGCCUGACCGAGCAACGCCGCGUGAAUGAUGAAGGCCUUCGGGUUGUAAAAUUCUGUUAUAAGGGAAGAACGACUUUAGUAGGAAAUGGCUAGAGUGUGACGGUACCUUAUGAGAAAGCCACGGCUAACUACGUG
RNAcentral lists this ribosomal RNA (467 nucleotides) under uncultured bacterium. Its description in RNAcentral is "bacterial SSU rRNA". It matches the Rfam family "Bacterial small subunit ribosomal RNA", at positions 28 to 507 of the family's 1533-position model. The record is from RNAcentral. RNAcentral also lists the same sequence under 1 other name.